RNAcentral lists this ribosomal RNA (253 nucleotides) under uncultured bacterium. Its description in RNAcentral is "partial 16S ribosomal RNA". It matches the Rfam family "Bacterial small subunit ribosomal RNA", at positions 524 to 776 of the family's 1533-position model. The record is from RNAcentral.
UACAGAGGUCCCAAGCGUUGUUCGGAUUCAUUGGGCGUAAAGGGUGCGUAGGCGGCGCGGUAAGUCGGGUGUGAAAUCUCGGGGCUUAACUCCGAAACUGCAUUCGAUACUGCCGUGCUUGAGGACUGGAGAGGAGACUGGAAUUUACGGUGUAGCGGUGAAAUGCGUAGAUAUCGGGAGGAACACCAGUGGCGAAGGCGGCUACCUGGCCCACUCUUGACGCUGAGGCGCGAAAGCUAGGGGAGCAAACGGG